AGUGAACGCUGGCGGUAGGCCUAACACAUGCAAGUCGAACGGCAGCACAGUAAGAGCUUGCUCUUACGGGUGGCGAGUGGCGGACGGGUGAGGAAUACAUCGGAAUCUACUUUUUCGUGGGGGAUAACGUAGGGAAACUUACGCUAAUACCGCAUACGACCUACGGGUGAAAGCAGGGGAUCUUCGGACCUUGCGCGAUUGAAUGAGCCGAUGUCGGAUUAGCUAGUUGGCGGGGUAAAGGCCCACCAAGGCGACGAUCCGUAGCUGGUCUGAGAGGAUGAGCAGCCACACUGGAACUGAGACACGGUCCAGACUCCUACGGGAGGCAGCAGUGGGGAAUAUUGGACAAGGGGCGCAAGCCGGAUCCAGCCAUACCGCGUGGGGGAAGAAGGCCGUCGGGUUGUAAAGCCCUUUUGUUGGGAAAGAAAAGCAGCAGGUUAAUACCCCGCUGUUCUGACGGUACCCAAAGAAUAAGCACCGGCUAACUUCG
This 490-nucleotide ribosomal RNA is filed under the name uncultured bacterium. RNAcentral's name for it is "partial 16S ribosomal RNA". It matches the Rfam family "Bacterial small subunit ribosomal RNA", at positions 29 to 505 of the family's 1533-position model. The record is from RNAcentral.